Molecule: unclassified non-coding RNA, 236 nt
Filed under: Helotiales sp.
Lineage: Eukaryota; Fungi; Ascomycota; Leotiomycetes; Helotiales
Description: partial contains 5.8S ribosomal RNA, internal transcribed spacer 2, and large subunit ribosomal RNA
Source: RNAcentral
CGCACAUUGCGCCCCUUGGUAUUCCGGGGGGCAUGCCUGUUCGAGCGUCAUUUCAACCCUCAAGCUCUGCUUGGUAUUGGGCGUUACCGGUAGCGGUUCGCCUUAAAAUUAGUGGCGGUGCUAAUGAGCUCUACGCGUAGUAAUAUUUCUCGCGAUUGGGUUUCAGUAGAUAUCUGCUAAGCUUUUAUCUUUUAGUGGUUGACCUCGGAUCAGGUAGGGAUACCCGCUGAACUUAA